This 253-nucleotide ribosomal RNA is filed under the name uncultured bacterium. RNAcentral describes it as "partial 16S ribosomal RNA". It matches the Rfam family "Bacterial small subunit ribosomal RNA", at positions 524 to 776 of the family's 1533-position model. The record is from RNAcentral.
UACGGGGGGGGCAAGCGUUGUUCGGAAUUACUGGGCGUAAAGGGCUCGUAGGCGGCCAACUAAGUCAGACGUGAAAUCCCUCGGCUUAACCGGGGAACUGCGUCUGAUACUGGCAGGCUGGAAUCCGGGAGAGGGAUGUGGAAUUCCAGGUGUAGCGGUGAAAUGCGUAGAUAUCUGGAGGAACACCGGUGGCGAAGGCGGCAUCCUGGACCGGUAUUGACGCUGAGGCGCGAAAGCUAGGGGAGCAAACGGG